RNAcentral lists this ribosomal RNA (495 nucleotides) under Halomonas sp. M6-C15. RNAcentral describes it as "bacterial SSU rRNA". It matches the Rfam family "Bacterial small subunit ribosomal RNA", at positions 1 to 493 of the family's 1533-position model. Lineage: Bacteria; Pseudomonadati; Pseudomonadota; Gammaproteobacteria; Oceanospirillales; Halomonadaceae. The record is from RNAcentral.
UAGAGUUUGAUCAUGGCUCAGAUUGAACGCUGGCGGCAGGCCUAACACAUGCAAGUCGAGCGGAAACGAUGGAAGCUUGCUUCCAGGCGUCGAGCGGCGGACGGGUGAGUAAUGCAUGGGAAUCUGCCCGAUAGUGGGGGAUAACCUGGGGAAACCCAGGCUAAUACCGCAUACGUCCUACGGGAGAAAGCAGGGGAUCUUCGGACCUUGCGCUAUCGGAUGAGCCCAUGUCGGAUUAGCUUGUUGGUGAGGUAAUGGCUCACCAAGGCGACGAUCCGUAGCUGGUCUGAGAGGAUGAUCAGCCACAUCGGGACUGAGACACGGCCCGAACUCCUACGGGAGGCAGCAGUGGGGAAUAUUGGACAAUGGGCGAAAGCCUGAUCCAGCCAUGCCGCGUGUGUGAAGAAGGCCCUCGGGUUGUAAAGCACUUUCAGUGGGGAAGAAAGCCUUGGGAUUAAUACUCCCGAGGAAGGACAUCACCCACAGAAGAGACCG